GAAUUAAAACAAAAAAAAAAAACAAAAGAAUUUUUUUUUUGAAAAUCUAGCAGUAGUUGCCAUUUUUUCGUUGUGAAAUUUUUUCACCAAGAGUUCCUCGGCACCUAACUACUGAGGUUUUCCUCGGCACUAAACUACCGAAGUUUUCCUCGGCAGUUAACUGUCGAGGAUUCCCAUGACAGGGUUCUACGUAACUGACGUAGAUACCCAUAAAACACCCAAAAAAUCAAUCGAAUAAAAUGAACAAUACCUGUUUUUUUACGUCAAUAGUGUGUUGAUACCUCCUAUGUUUGAUGCUUGAAUUAUUUUGGAUCAAAAAUUGAUUAAAAAAAAAUGGAUUUUGGGAUUGAAUGGAGGUGAAAAUGAAGGUGAUGAAGAAAAUAGUGUGUAGGGGGAGCAGGUGGCUGUUUCAUCGGAUGAAACAUUUUCCUCGGCAGUUAACUGCAGCCGGAUUUCAAAUUCCUCAGCAGUUAUCUACCGAGGGGUGUUUGCGUAAUGUACUUGUGUUUCUCAGCCAAACAACAAGUGGGAACAACAAUUCUCAAAUAAUUAUGAAGAAUAACAACAAUAAUGAAAUCAAAGACAGUUUAAGUGAUUUACCUAAUUGUCUUGUACUUCACAUACUCUCCUUUUUGGACACCAAAGUAGCCAUCCAAACUUGCGCGCAUUCUAUCCACGAGAUGGAAGAAUAUUUGGAAACAUCUUCCCAACCUUACACUACUUUAUUCCUCGCAAUUUAACACGCUCGAAUCUUUCACAACAUUUGUUUCUAAUAUUUUAUCUCUUCGCGAUUCCUCAACUAUCUUCGCGACAUAAAAUUUAUAGUUGACCCUCGCCUACUCGAAACUAUCAUUGAAUACGCUGUUUCACCCAAUGUCAAGCUAUUAGAUAUGGAUCUCUCAUCUCAUAUUCAACGCUUUCCUCUUUGCUUAUUUUCAUCUCCCACUUUAACAUCUCUCCACCUCCAGGUCAAAACUCAUCACAAAAUAUUUUUUCCAAAUUCUCUUAAUUUGCCAGCCUUAACCAGCUUAGUUCUAUGGUACUUUUGCUUUCCUCUUAGUUAUGAUGGUCGAGACGAACCUUUUUCAAAAUUAAAAAAGUUGAAGAGUUUGUUCAUUUACAAAUGUGAAGUUAAUGAUGCACAAAACCUUUGCAUAUCAAGUAUCACACUUGUCACUUUACAUAUCAUCACACGUCCCAAAUAUUGUUUCGGAAUCGAGCUCUUUACUCCAAGUCUUAUUAACUUUCUUUUUAAUGGUAUUCCUCUUCAAAAACUAUGUGGAAGCAAUACCAAUCUCCCGAACAUCAAAUGUGUACAUAUUGAUUUAAUCAAUUUGGAGAAUUCUUCCGAGACUUCAUUGCUUCUACUCAACUAGCUGGUCUAGCUUGCUAAUAUCCAAUAUUUGAGCAUCAGUUCAACUACUCUUAAGGUUCUUUCCUUAGUUCCUAACUUAUUGAUGGCUGAGCUCCCUUCCUUGUGUAACUUGAAGUCACUGAGAGUAUAUGUUGACUCAUGCUUAUCCAUACCUGAUGGAAUAGUUGACUUUUUGCUUCGAAAGUCACCCUCAGCAAAGGUCGACAUCAUAGACUGGUCGAGUUGAAACGAGAGUCAAGAGCACAUGAGAGCAGAAGUUAUCCAUGUUUGAUUUUGCAGUAAAGGCACGGUGGAAGGUACGAAAGCUAGAGGAAUCUCUGAUAUGUUUUGCCAAGAACUUGGAAUCAAGAGAGUCCUCAAGCAUGAUGACCUGUAACAAUAACAUUUUUUCACAAGAGAUAUCUUUCUCUAAUAGCUAGAUAACAUGUUUAAGAUUUAUUUAUUUUCCACAGUUUAUUUGUUUGUUUCAAGUAUUCUACUUUUAAGGGAUUUAUAUAUUUUCAUUUGAUUAUUUUCGA
This is a long non-coding RNA of Medicago truncatula (barrel medic), 1893 nucleotides long. RefSeq lists it as uncharacterized. Lineage: Eukaryota; Viridiplantae; Streptophyta; Magnoliopsida; Fabales; Fabaceae. The transcript is spliced from 3 exons. The record is from RefSeq and is a predicted model, not a curated record.